UACGAAGGGGGCGAGCGUUGUUCGGAAUUACUGGGCGUAAAGCGUGCGCAGGCGGUGAUGUAAGACAGAUGUGAAAUCCCCGGGCUCAACCUGGGAACUGCAUUUGUGACUGCACAGCUUGAGUGCGGCAGAGGGGGAUGGAAUUCCGCGUGUAGCAGUGAAAUGCGUAGAUAUGCGGAGGAACACCGAUGGCGAAGGCAAUCCCCUGGGCCUGCACUGACGCUCAUGCACGAAAGCGUGGGGAGCAAACAGG
This 253-nucleotide ribosomal RNA is filed under the name uncultured bacterium. Its description in RNAcentral is "partial 16S ribosomal RNA". It matches the Rfam family "Bacterial small subunit ribosomal RNA", at positions 524 to 776 of the family's 1533-position model. The record is from RNAcentral.